RNAcentral lists this long non-coding RNA (408 nucleotides) under Anolis carolinensis (green anole). RNAcentral's name for it is "lncRNA (ENSACAG00000036720.1)". Lineage: Eukaryota; Metazoa; Chordata; Lepidosauria; Squamata; Anolidae. The record is from RNAcentral.
GUGGAUCACACAAGGUUUCCAAUGAAGACGUUCCUCUAGAUGCCUCCAGAAGCCUACUGAAAAGAUGAAGGAUGCUGUUUGCUCUAGAGAUGCUGUCUGAAGCCUGAGAAAAUGAGCAGGGCUGGGCUUGCCCAGACUUGUUCUCUUCUAGAGAUCGGGAAGAAAAGUCAAGCUGCUUCCUUUGGGUCACCCAACCAGCCCUUCCUGGCUCCAUCCUGGGAGGUUGGCUUCCCAGAUUCCACAUCAGCAAACUGCCACCAAACUUGGCCCCGGAAGAAAGCCUCGAGUCCUUUUUCUGUCUGGUCCUCAGGACUCUCUUCUCCAAGAAGGAUGGCUCAUGGCGGAAAGAAGGGCCGCCGCUGUGAGUGUUUCUUUGGCAGUGUCUUAGCUGGUUGUUGUGCGCAGUGA